CAUGUCCUGAGGACAUUCUAGCUGCCCAAAAGAGAACUCCACAUGGUUAUUUAUUCAUCUGCAAGUAUGAACGAAUGUGCAGUUUUAAAAAAUGAACUGAUCAAUGUUUUGGAAUACUGAUCCACUUAUCGGCAAACAUCCAUAACUAUAUAGGAGCAUGCAUUUCUCUUAAAACUUAUGAUUUCCCUUUA
Long non-coding RNA from Neofelis nebulosa (Clouded leopard), 191 nucleotides. RefSeq lists it as uncharacterized. The record is from RefSeq and is a predicted model, not a curated record. Lineage: Eukaryota; Metazoa; Chordata; Mammalia; Carnivora; Felidae. The transcript has 2 exons.